CCCUUAGAUGUUCUGGGCUGCACGCGCGCUACACUGAUGCGAUCAACAAGUUUUUCCUAUGUCGAUAGACACGGGUAAUCUUUUGAACUCGCAUCGUGAUGGGGAUAGAUUAUUGUAAUUAUUAAUCUUCAACGAGGAAUUCCUAGUAGGUGCAAAUCAUCAGUUUGCAUCGAUUACGUCCCUGCCCUUUGUACACACCGCCCGUCGCUGCUACCGAUUGGUUGAUCUGGUGAAUUAUUCGGACUGCCGGCUGAAGGGGUUUCCUCAUCUGCCAGCGGAAGGUCUUGUUAACCCUAUCAACUAGAGGAAGCAGAAGUCGUAACA
This 324-nucleotide ribosomal RNA is filed under the name uncultured eukaryote. RNAcentral describes it as "partial 18S ribosomal RNA". It matches the Rfam family "Eukaryotic small subunit ribosomal RNA", at positions 1470 to 1796 of the family's 1831-position model. The record is from RNAcentral.